GUAACACGUGGACAACCUACCCUCCGGACGGGUAUAAACCCGGGAAACUGGGUAUAAUCCCCGAUAGAUCUCGGUCGCUGGAAUGCCCCGAGAUCGAAAGCUCCGGCGCCAGAGGAUGGGUCUGCGGCCUAUCAGGUAGUAGUGGGUGUAGCGUACCUACUAGCCUACGACGGGUACGGGUUGUGAGAGCAAGAGCCCGGAGAUGGAUUCUGAGACACGAAUCCAGGCCCUACGGGGUGCAGCAGGCGCGAAACUUUACAAUGCCGGCAACGGCGAUAAGGGGACCUCGAGUGCCAGGUUACAAAUCUGGCUGUCGUGAUGCCUAAAAGCAUUGCAUAGCAGGGCCGGGCAAG
RNAcentral lists this ribosomal RNA (353 nucleotides) under uncultured Methanosaeta sp. RNAcentral describes it as "bacterial SSU rRNA". It matches the Rfam family "Archaeal small subunit ribosomal RNA", at positions 93 to 450 of the family's 1478-position model. The record is from RNAcentral. Lineage: Archaea; Methanobacteriati; Methanobacteriota; Methanomicrobia; Methanotrichales; Methanotrichaceae.